This 1137-nucleotide ribosomal RNA is filed under the name Triticum aestivum (bread wheat). RNAcentral describes it as "partial small subunit ribosomal RNA". The record is from RNAcentral. Lineage: Eukaryota; Viridiplantae; Streptophyta; Magnoliopsida; Poales; Poaceae.
AUGGAAAAGCAGAAAGACUUGAAAGCUCAAUACAAACUUCUUAAGGAUGCCCGCAAACAGAGCGGUGUCAGUUGGAACUAUCAUACACAAAAGAUAGAUGCUGACGCAUAUCUUUGGCAAAACUUGAUGAUUUCGUGGCCAGAAAUAGCUAAGUUCCAGAAUAAGCCCUUUCCCCUCUACGAUAAGCUUGGUGAUCUGUAUGAUGGACAUAUAGCAGAAGGUAACUUCAAUUUCACAUCAACUGAAGUUACACAAGUGAGUGAUGGUGAUCCCGAAGUUGAAAGAGAGCAGACUGCCUUCUCUUUUGACCUGAAUCAAUAUGGUGAUGAUUUACACAUGUAUAAUGAUCCAAGAGAUGCCGCCCCAAGUGAUGUAUCAAGAGAUGCCGCCCCAAGUGAUGGUUCAAGAGAUGCUGCCCCAAGUGGUGGUCCAAGAGAUGUUGCCCAAACAGGUGCUCCCGGUGGUUCAAAUAAGAAGCCAGUGAAGGAGCCCAAGAAGAAGAAGCGUGAUGACCCAAUGGUGGGUGAUGGCACAAUAUGUGGAGAUUAAACGGAAGCAAGCAGAGGAGGAGUCUGUUUUGUUGGCAGGGUCAAAAAUGCCCAAGAGUUCUCCAUCAGCAAGUGCAUUGCUGUUUUGCACAAGAUGGAAAGCAUCCGCCAUGAUGAAAGAGUUGCUGCCUACAAAGUGUUCAAAAGUGUUGAGAAUCAUGAGAUUUUUCUGAAUUCUGCCGCCGAAGAUGAAGAUAGUGCUGCUGCAUUUCUUCGGAGCGAAAUGGAAGAGUUGCAUCAACGUAUCUAAGGGACCUGAUCUCGCGGAAGCAUGGGCGACCACACGUUGCCGCCAGAAGUCUCCUCCACACUGCUGCCCGCAAACAUGUCUCGGAGCAUUCGCCGGUCAAACAUGUGUUUAUGUUGUGAUGAACCAUUGACUUUCGUUGACGAACAUCUUGUAUUUUUCAUUUGGACCAUGGCAUGUGUCAUGUUUUUCAUUUGGACCGUGGCAUGUAUGCAUGUACCAUUUUCAUUUAAACCGUUGAUAGUACUUGUAACAGAUUAUAUGAGCUUGUUUGUUGUUUUGCGUAAUCUAGUUGCACCUUUAUUGCAAGUACAUUUGUUCUAUGAGCUUUUGAAGUUGUAA